UACGGGGGGGGCAAGCGUUGUUCGGAAUUACUGGGCGUAAAGGGCGCGUAGGCGGCCUGCUAAGUCGGGUGUGAAAACUCUGGGCUCAACCCAGAGCCUGCAUUCGAUACUGACGGGCUAGAGUUCUGGAGGGGAAAGCGGAAUUCCUGGUGUAGCGGUGAAAUGCGUAGAUAUCAGGAGGAACACCGGUGGCGAAGGCGGCUUUCUGGACAGAAACUGACGCUGAGGCGCGAAGGCUAGGGGAGCAAACAGG
RNAcentral lists this ribosomal RNA (253 nucleotides) under uncultured bacterium. RNAcentral's name for it is "partial 16S ribosomal RNA". It matches the Rfam family "Bacterial small subunit ribosomal RNA", at positions 524 to 776 of the family's 1533-position model. The record is from RNAcentral.